AACGAACGCUGGCGGCGUGCCUAAUACAUGCAAGUCGUACGAGAAAGUCCGGCUUCGGUUGGACGAGUAAAGUGGCGAACGGGUGAGUAACACGUGGGAAAUCUGCCUUCCUGUCUGGGAUAAGCCUUCGAAAGGGGGUCUAAUACCGGAUAACAUCCUUGGACGGCAUCGUCCGAAGAUCAAAGGCGGGGCAACCUGUCGCAGAAAGAUGAUCCCGCGGUCCAUUAGCCUGUUGGUGAGGUAACGGCUCACCAAAGCUCCGAUGGAUAGCCGACCUGAGAGGGUGACCGGCCACACUGGGACUGAGAUACGGCCCAGACUCCUACGGGUGGCAG
RNAcentral lists this ribosomal RNA (335 nucleotides) under uncultured bacterium. RNAcentral's name for it is "bacterial SSU rRNA". It matches the Rfam family "Bacterial small subunit ribosomal RNA", at positions 29 to 351 of the family's 1533-position model. The record is from RNAcentral.